Myodes glareolus (Bank vole) is the source of this 535-nucleotide non-coding RNA. NCBI's taxonomy places the organism in Eukaryota, Metazoa, Chordata, Mammalia, Rodentia, Cricetidae. The record is from RefSeq and is a predicted model, not a curated record.
GCAACUAGACACAGCCAUGGGCCACCCAAGCUGGCGCAGUGUAAACUAUGGAGGGGUUUUCCCUUCUGAGAACGCAUUUUGCAAUAGUGGCAACGGAAAGGCUAAAUGCUCACAGAUCUUUAUCACGGCAGCACUGUAAAAGUGAAAAAAUGAGAGGCGAACACCGAGAAAGAAGUGAGAAUUGUGCCGCCUCUGCCAUCACUACCUCAAGUACUGUGAAGAAGAGAAAAGAGGACGGCCAUCUGAACUCAUGAGAACAGGGUCCUCCCCACAGAUACAACUAAGCACCCAGAGAACAGGAGGAUAUCCCCCUGCCUCUUGAUUCCUUCAGGAACACACACAGGAUCAGAACGCUGUUGAAGACUGGGGUUAGAGAUGUCAGUAAGACUUAAGGAACUUGGAACAAGUGAAGCCCAUUGUCACUGUUCUUCAGGUCUGCCAGUUCACCUUACUGACUUACAAGGAAGUGAGAAUGUAGUCUUUCUACCCCACUGUCCUCAUAUCCUGGACCAAGCAACAUGAAGCUGGAAUUCAA